AGACCUGCAGGUCAUAUAGUCAUAGAUAUAUCUACUACUGAAGUACACGUUUAAGUACUGAUCUGUAGAAUGGGGGGAAUGACUCUGACCCUGCUGCUGCUGUGUCUGUCUGGGACUCUCAGUGAAGAUGCUGGAGAAGACAACCUCAAUGACAUCAUGGUACAGAUUCAGCCUGAACAGGGACAGGACAUAGAACAUGAAUACAAGGCUCAUAACCAACAGGUAGAGACUGCAGCCACUACAACAACCCAAUCAGGAUGUGAGCCUACCAUCCACACUGUGAUGAGAGAACUGGGGGCAAUGGAGGAGCGACUGGGAGCAACAAUUAGGUCAUUGGAAGGCAUGAGAAACAGGCUGGAAGCCAGUGAGAGCCAAGUUAGGUCAUUAAACGCCACAGUGAAUGAACUGAAGAGAUUCAAUGAAGACAGGCCCCAGGUGACAUUCUCAGCUACUUGAGGAAUUUCUGGAACCAUUGGACCUGUCAGCAAUGAAAUCACUCUGGUCUUCCAGCGUGUUCUAUCAAACGUUGGAAAUGCCUACAAUCCAACCACAGGCAUCUUUACAGCACCAGUGAGAGGACUCUACCAUUUCACCUUCACAGCUUUUGACUGGGGAUGGACUAAAAUGACAGGGGCAAGCUUACGUCGUAAUGGACAGGUAAUGGUCUCUGUGUAUGAUGAGAAAGAAGGGGGUUCCUCUGAGUCGUCAUCCAAUAGCACCACCUUCCUGCUACAAGUGGGAGAGCAGGUGUAUGUUGCUCUCUGGGGACAUGGACAUCAGAUAUCUGACAAUGAAAAUCACUACUCCUCAUUUAACGGUUUCCUGCUCUUUCCCAUAUGAUGAAAUAUGUUCAAUAUGUUUUUCUGAUCAAUCACAUACAUCUUAAAAUUUUGACAUAGAAUAUAGUAAGUGUGUGCUUGUAGAAAUGCAAGAGGGACAUCCUGUAUUUGU
This is a long non-coding RNA of Oncorhynchus keta (chum salmon), 951 nucleotides long. RefSeq lists it as uncharacterized. Lineage: Eukaryota; Metazoa; Chordata; Actinopteri; Salmoniformes; Salmonidae. The transcript is spliced from 3 exons. The record is from RefSeq and is a predicted model, not a curated record.